This 468-nucleotide ribosomal RNA is filed under the name uncultured bacterium. RNAcentral's name for it is "partial 16S ribosomal RNA". It matches the Rfam family "Bacterial small subunit ribosomal RNA", at positions 28 to 507 of the family's 1533-position model. The record is from RNAcentral.
GACGAACGCUGGCGGCGUGCUUAACACAUGCAAGUCGAACGGAAAGGCCCUGCUUUUGUGGGGUGCUCGAGUGGCGAACGGGUGAGUAACACGUGAGUAACCUGCCCUUGACUUUGGGAUAACUUCAGGAAACUGGGGCUAAUACCGGAUAGGAGCUCCUGAUGCACGGUGGGGGUUGGAAAGUUUCGGCGGUUGGGGAUGGAAUCGCGGCUUAUCAGCUUGUUGGUGGGGUAGUGGCUUACCAAGGCUUUGAAGGGUAGCCGGCCUGAGAGGGUGACCGGCCACAGUGUGACUGAGGUACGGGCCAGACUCCUACUGGCGGCAUCAGUGGGAAAUAUUGCACAAUAGGCGGAGGCCUGAUGCAGCAACGCCGCGUGCUGGAUGACGGCCUUCGGGUAGUAAACCGCUUUCGCCUAUGACGAAGCGGGAGUGACGGUAAUGGGUAAAGAAGCACCGGCUAACUACGUG